GAUUUUAAUGUACGUGAACUCGCAUAGUAAUAAAAAAUAACGUAGAUUCAUAUUCACCCCAUGUUUAGUAGAGCUUGGGUUACUUUGAUUUUGCCAUAUUGACAAGCAGUCAUCAGUGGGGUCUUGUAAUACUUGUCUCUUUGAUCGACAGGAGUGCCAUAGUUGUUGAUCGCAAAUUUGAUCGAUUCUAAAUCACCAAACUUCACAGCAUCCCCAAGACUUACAUAGAUUGGGUCUGUAUCAAGAGGUGCACCUCAAAGAAACAAACAUGAUUAUUAAAAUGGAUCUUAAUAAAUCCAAACAAGGCAAUGAAUCACCUCUCUGUGCAAGAAAUUUACAAAUCUGGCCAUAUCCUUUCAUAGCAGCAAUAUGAAGAGGGUAUUUCCCUGUCUGUUGAUUUUACCAAGAUCAGCUCCAUAUGAUGCAAGUAAUCUGAUAACAUCAAGGUGACCUUGCUCUGUUGCACUACAUGUAUGUAACACAACUUGAAAACUAAGAACAUAAAAUGAAUUGCCAAGAUUUUAUAAAACAGAAAAUUAUAUUAAAACUUACAGAUGGGAGGCAUGGAUGUUUUUUUCAUCUAAGACAUCCACAUUUGCACCUGCUUCAAGAAUUGACCUUGAACAUUCUACACUUCCUGAUAGUGCGGCAGCGUGCAAUGCUGAAAAUGACGUUUUCUGGAACAAACAAUGCAAUAUUAUCAAAUAAUAACAAGUAUAUGUAGAAAAAUAAUGUGAAUUAAUGUUUUGAAUAAUGUA
Long non-coding RNA from Xenia sp. Carnegie-2017, 758 nucleotides. RefSeq lists it as uncharacterized. NCBI's taxonomy places the organism in Eukaryota, Metazoa, Cnidaria, Anthozoa, Malacalcyonacea, Xeniidae. The transcript has 3 exons. The record is from RefSeq and is a predicted model, not a curated record.